Molecule: unclassified non-coding RNA, 304 nt
Organism: Mustela putorius furo (domestic ferret)
Lineage: Eukaryota; Metazoa; Chordata; Mammalia; Carnivora; Mustelidae
Gene: 7SK
Rfam family: 7SK RNA
About the family: 7SK was discovered as an abundant small nuclear RNA in the mid-70s but a possible function has only recently been suggested. Two independent studies have found that 7SK RNA binds the CDK9/cyclin T complex (known as elongation factor P-TEFb). P-TEFb activates transcription by phosphorylating the C-terminal domain of RNA polymerase II.
Source: Ensembl
GGAUGUGAGGGCAAUCCGGCCGCGACAUCUGUCACCCCACGGAUCACCAGGGUUGAUUUGGCUGAUGUGGCUGGCUAGGCCGGUGUCCCCGUCCCCCCUCACGGCUCCACGUGUGUCCCUCCCAAAGCCGCACCCUCCGUCCAAGGGGACGGUCGUCUCGGUAGGGGAGGAAUGCUCUUCGGUCAAGGGUAUAUGAGCAGCUGUGCUCCCCUUCUAGAACCUCCAAACCAGCUCUCAAAAAAUAUUUCCUAUAUAAUUCCAUUUUUGUAAAAAUUAAGUAAAAAAUGGAUCUAUCUAUAAACUA